Molecule: long non-coding RNA, 9013 nt
Organism: Lepidothrix coronata (blue-crowned manakin)
Lineage: Eukaryota; Metazoa; Chordata; Aves; Passeriformes; Pipridae
Exons: 4
Source: RefSeq, a predicted model, not a curated record
GUGCUUUCACAAGCAAGUUGCAAUACAAUGGCUAUUUUCAAUUCAUUUUCAGCUCAUAACAGGAUCUAUAUAAGACAAAAUGAAAAAUCCAGUGUUUCCUUAUUUGUAGUUAAACUCAACCUUUUAUAUACCAACCAAAGAUGCCCCAUGAAGCUUAGAGAAGUUAAAGUGUGCUCAUAGGGUUCUGCCCUAGCAACAUAUUAUGAGAAAAAUGUAUUUUCUAUACAUUUUAGAAUAAUUCACUAAAUUAUAUCUAAAUGGAGUAAGCAUUUAGUGGACUUUUUUACUAAGUACAUGUGGCAAUCUGAUUCUGUUUAAAAUGCUAAUAAAUGCAUCCCAUCUCUAAUGAAACUAGUGCUCCCUGCAUAAUUAAUUAGCAUUUAAUACAGAUGAGGACAGGAAAGCCAUAUUCACAGUCAUUUUUAACCGGAAUAGUUAAUAAAAGAAUUCUUCACAGUUCUGAAAGGUCACACGUGAAUAGCUCAUUUCUGCAAAACGGAUAUUUUUUUGCAAGUAAAAAUUUUAGUGAAGUUUACCUGGAAUCGUUGGUCCAUACAGCUUUUAUCCACAAGGUGGCAUUCCUAACAGGAGUUUACAAGACAUGGUAAUUUCUUGCAGUUUUUCAAGAGCUCUAAGUGAAAGGCAGUCAUAAGCAUUUGUAAUGUUAUAUGAGAUUUUUAUGUUUUAAUUUUUAUAAAAUGCAAUUAACAGUAAGUCAGAAACAUUAAUGAUAAUUAGUUUAAUCCUGAUUGAUAUGUGGAGUACCCAGAAAUAUGUGAUGGUUCCAGGUCAGCAAAACAGCAUAUUAAUUCGUGGCAUUAUAUGCUACUAUGGACACUUUCCAAUGGUAAAUCCGGAAUCAGUUUUUGCUUUAAUAAAAGAAUAUAAAAUAAUAAAAAAAUCAAUUAUUUAAAUCAAGAGCACAAAUAAUAUCAUGGUCUUAUAUGCAAAACCCCAGUGUUUGGGGUUUUGGUUAUGAUGCAGCUUUUAGUGAAUGCUGGGUUAAAGAAGAGCACAUAACAGUAUUCACAGGGGAGGAUUUUUCAUAGCUUAAUGUUACAAUGACCAAGAAGCGUAUUUUCAGAUGCCUGUCAUCCAGGUUGGUCACCGAGCCCACAGGCAGCCCUGCUUUCUUUCAGGCUUUAUAUCUUUUUCACUUUCCUGUAAUCUUUGCAUGCUAUAUAUAUGUAUAAAAAGAAUACAUUGCUCGUUAUUCAUUUUAUACAAGCAUGAAGGGAGUGUAAUACAACCUGCUAAACCAAUACAAGUGUACUAGGUUUUAUAUAACAGAGACAUGCAUAUUAUGCUUUUCUCUCCCAUGGGUAAGGUCCUGAUCUUACUUUUGCUUCUUUUGCUGACUCUGUAAGAUCAGACCUGAGCUAAGUAAUCAUUUCUGUUUCCCUUUUAGCUAGUGCCCUAGUUGCAUUUUGUUUGGAAAAAAAGCUAUAACCUUAAGUUUAUGCUUAACUGGAAUCCAGUGUAAACUGUGCAAUUUUUUUCAAGUCUAUUUCAAGUCAACAGAAAGGAAUACGAUAGAGUAGUUGUUUAUUUAUUUGUUUGCCUUAUUGUUUUGUGGUAGCAAAAAUUCUGUGGUGUCUUUUCUAAUGCAUGUGUACAUUUCCUGUUAAUCCUUCUGCUCCACGUGCUGCCCCCCACUGAUGCCAGAACCCUCUGGUUUUGCUUCCUAUCAUUUAACACAGCUGAGAGGUUGGAGUAGCAGCUACAUCCACUGCUGACACUAAUGACAGUCUUUGCUGAGAGACAGGGUACUACUUUGACAUUAAGCAGAUAUUCUUUUUCCUAACAUGCUGUUAUACCUCUUUCAUUUCUCAAAGAUGGCUAUGAAAAGCGGAAUAUGAAUUCUUGUUCACUGAAAACAACUGUCAGUCAAAAAAACCCGACUUUCAGAAUGAUUGGGCAGGUAGAACCUACCUGCUGGAUGAAUCUGGCACAAGGACUGCAGAGACAAACCUGAGUUAUUAUUGUCUUAUGAUGAUUACCAGUAAAAUUUGAGGGCCUGAACAUCUCCUAUAUACUGCCAAUUUUAAAGAAAUGUGGUGAAAAUGUCUAUUUCAAGGGUGUGGAAAUGGCUGGACAAAGAAAGUUAUACAUAAUAAUUAGGAAAUGUUGAUGAGAAAGUAAAUAAUUUGUGAGUGUUACCUUUCAAGUUACACGUUGAAUUUUCUUUGUAGUAGUUAGAUAUAGCAUUAGGUGAGUAGAUGGGGACAAGGUUCCUCUGAGAAGAGCAACGAGCCUGUCCUAGGGAGGAGGUUUAAAAAUAGGGAAAACAAAUGUACUGAGGAAAGGAACAUUCUCUGCUUUGAUGACUGCCAUGUAGAAAGGACUUGUAGUGAAGGAUAGUCUGUAAACAGACCUAUACACAGCUAAACAAGUGAACAGGUUAGUCAAGGUAAUGGCAGGGUUCAGGGUCCCCCCAAAAGCCAUAAUGUGUAGGUGCAAUGGACACCACCAGUAGAAAUCAGUGGUCUUGAGCAUUGCUGAUGUUGUUUCUGGGACAUCUCAUGAUGUUGGAUCAGAUGGACAUGUACUCCAGCUUCCAGAAAUGCGGGAAAGAGAUUGCACUGAAUUUGUCCUUUUGCCUGAGUUAUAUGACAGCAACUAAGAGUUCAUAUAACCAAGAGCUUGCAGGUAACACUGUCAGAAAAAAAGUCCAUACUGACUGCAGACGAAUAAUAGUCCUGAUACUUUAUGAUGGAUCUGCAAAUUACUUUGUUAGUACAAAGCACGUCAGGGGCUAAUUUGAUGUGGUUUAUUGUUUGCAAGAGGUGGAUUAUAAAUGUUGGGAAUUGCAUCUUAUGUAACUGCUGCUGGGUAGGCAUAGGUAUGAGUAAGUGUGAACUGGGAAAGGAGAAUGAUACUGGGAACUGUAACCACAAGUAUUAUCACUUCCCAUAUGUAACAAACUUGUGCCUAGGGCAAGGAAGCACAAUUACUGACAGAAGCUGUGUUUGUUCAUGCAAGUGAUUUUAUUGCUCUAAGUGAUUUAUCACUGUGGAUUAUGUUUUUUGAUGAAAGACUUUUCUGGAAUAAUUGUACUCAAAAGGAAAUGAGUUGUUUAGCUUCAAUAGACAACCACGUCUGUCCAUUGAAAAUAAGUUACAUUUUUAAAGUACUUUUAUAAGGGUUUCUAAUUGGUGGGAUACAACGGGUCAUUAUGCAAUAUGGGGGUUUACUUCCCCCAGUUAGUAACAUAAUCUCUUUCUCUCUCUCCCUUUCACUUCCUCGGUCUCAGAAAUCUAGAACUACACAUUUUAGAAAAUCAUCAGAUACUUAAAUAUUUCAUAUACUUCCAAAUUAUAUGAUUUCACUUUAUCUAUUAUCAAAAGAAUUCUCUGAAUUUAUAUUAGGUGCUGAAGAUACAUUGAUGAUUACUGAAAAACAGUCCUCAUUUCCUUUACAAAAAGAUGUUACAUUUUCAAAUUGCGCAGCACCUGAAUUGCCAGAGUUUCUGUUCCUUGUGCUCCUGGAUCACUGAUGGUAAAACUCUUACUUUCUUAUGCAUUUAUAUUGUUGUAAAAAGAAAUAGUUAUAAGUACAGGUACCUUCCUUCUCAGAGGCAUCUGAAUGCAAAACAGACACAGUUAUCCACUAUGGUACUUUGGCCUGACACGGGAAUUACUUUACUAAAGGCAAAUCAAACCUAAUACCCAGUCAACCCCUGUUCAAAUGCAGAGUGGCAAAGCUGAGCCGGAAGAUACCAAGUGAAAAGUGAACUUUCCAAUGCUGUAUAAAAGCCAGUUGAAAACUACUUCACAAACUACUAAGAUCUCUGUAGUGCCCAAUACCACAAAUUGUUACUCAUUUCCGCAAGGCACAGCUGACAGCUGACGGGGGAAAUGAAGAAAUAUAAAUUACUUUUCUUUUUAAAUCUGUCCAAAAUAACAUUUGCCUUCUGUGAGCACUUAGCUACUUGUGCUAAGCCUUGGGGUGAAGAGUGAGUCUCCCACCUCCCAAAGUGGUGGCUCUUUUGUCAGUUCCGGGGCAGCAGAAGAAUCAUUUUCAGUGAUGAGAUUUUUUUUCCCUGUAUUAAUGCAUGAUCUGUUUCAUAAAUCAAAUUACAUAUAAAUGAAACAGCUUAAAAGUAAUUGUGCAGCUGAGCAACUGAUGAGUUAUUGUGCCUUAUGGCUGCUGUGGCUGUGUGGGUAAGCACGAAAAAGACAAAAAUUGGUCUCUUUAACCUCCAGUGUCCCUUCUAUCUCCCCUAUGAGUUUCCUGUCACUUUAAUUUAGGAUGUAUUUUGAUCAACUUAUGAAAUCAAUUAUAUGAUACAUUUGUCUCCAAUUCCCCAGAAACAAUUAUCCAGUCCUGUGUUCCUAAAUUCCCUCCUGUACGCUGCCUUACUAUGUUUUUUUUUUUGAUAGCUGUAAUAGAUGUUGUUAGUGACGAUGCUGUUUGUAGAUCUGGUUUUAGAGGUUAGACAGAAGAAUUAAGCAACAUUUGGAGUGUCAUUGAGACCACCUUGGUAAUUUUUUUUGGUUUGCAAAGCAGAUGUCUCUAUAAUGCACUCAAAUUCUUCACCGUCACCCAUUGUCAUAAAGUCAUUUUAGCAUAACUAUUUUUUAAUUCUCUAAGCCUUUUCAUGGAAUAAUUUAAAAUCAGUCUUUGUAGGAUAAAUUUAACUCUAUAUUACAACUCAAAAUACCAGAAUCAUAAAAUUUAGAAAAAAAUAUUCUUGUAAUAAGCAUUUUGUAAUUAAUUUAAUUAGGUUUCUUCCAGGCUGAUACUUGGACUGCAAAUUGAGAGUUUUAUUUCCCUUUUGGCCUCAGGUAUCCUCUGAAAUGUUCAGACUUAAGUUCUGUGAACUGUGUUGUCAUUUUGUGUUGUGACACUGUGUUGUCACUCUAAUUCUGACAGCAGGAUUUUACAAACUGCCAUGAGUUCUGAACAAAAGGAAAAGUGUAUGUAUGCAACUAUUUUCAGUGGAUCGGAAAACCAGGAGACAUUAUUUUGUUAUUAUAACUUGCCCUAAGAGGAGAAGAGGUGCAUAUGUAUGAGCAUGCAGAUAUUUGAUAAGCUGAUAUCUUUCCCAGAAAGCUUGAAAGUGGUGGUUUUUGCAACAUUUCAAAUUGAUUAGGGGAUGUUGGGUUUUUUUUCCUACUCAGAUUCAUGAAGGAAUGACACAAAAAUUAAGAGCUAUUUUUAAAAUCAGACUUUGAUAUGUAGAAAGUAAUAAAUGGGGGGAAAGUGGUAGCAAAAGUCAGAUCCAGUGAAUAGUGAGAAACUGGACACAAUUCUGCCAAAUGUCUGUGAAUUGAUGCCCAAGACUGAAAUUCUGACACCUUAAACAGUUCUUUUAAACAUGGCCAUGACUAAAGCAGGCUGUUUCUAGCCUUAAAAUCUUACUAUAAAAGCAGAGCUGUGGUUUUCUUGAGAGAUUUUUGUAAAUUCUUGCUGCAGAGAGGCUAGGUAGCAGGGAAACAGCUUUUUAGGGGGAGCUGAGAGGGGUGGUUCUACUUUUUGUCCGGCAAUAAUUCUGAUCUAAAGGAAUAAGAAAGCAUUGAAAAUUUUAUUUAAACCUCAGAAAUUGUAUUUAACAUGGGAUGGGCAUUUAUAGUUUAGCAGUCUGUUUAUCUGAAGCUGUAUGACUUCUUCCUGACUGUGAAGGUUCCCAGGACAUGUCGUUCAGUUUACUGUGUGUUUUGAGAGACAGAAAACAUGACAGAAUUUAUGUAUAUUCACAUAAAUAUAUAUAUAUAUUUAAUGUAUAUAUAUAUAUACAUUAUAUAUAUAAUGUAUAUAUAAUGUACAUGCAUACAGACUGUAUACAUAUUUCAGUUUAUUGUGUGCACAGAAUAUCAUGCUCCCACGCUCAGGAACACAGCGUGGUCCACAGCCCAGGGCCCCAGCUGGCCUUGGCCUUUGGCUGGUUUUGUGCAGCACUGUUGCCUGACCUUGGCUCACUGUCACUGAGAAGGCUGUCACUGAGCUCUGAGAGUCUGUAAACUGAAACCGUGUAAGAUAAGAAAAGUAAAAACAGGCAGAACUGAAUGUGCUGAGCUGGGAAGACUGUCUUGGGGACUGGGGACAAACACUGACAUGGAAUCUAUAAAACCUGAGGGAGAAAUCAGAGACGUAGAAGAUGGCAUCUCUGCAGCUGUGAGGACUUGUACUGAAGUACUGGGGUAGUUUGACAUGACUGAAAUGCUUUUCUUAUAAAAAAUAAAGUCUGCAACACCAAUAAAAAGUAACAGAAAUCACCUCAUAUGCUUUUCUCUUCUUUCCCCCUCUCUCUUUUCCUUUUCCACAUUUUUCCUGCACUGAUCCUCAUCUCGUCAGCUCCCUCUGACCCAUCUGAAAUACGCUUCUCUGAUCAGCCUCUGGUCAAAAGUGCCUCUUGAUACCUUUUACUGCUCUGCUCUUGUUUCACUCCAUGGAAUCACGUGAAUCAUAUAAACCCCCAAGGCGCACUUGGCAUGUGGUACUGUCGUCUCCAGUGUCCACACUGGGAUGGUGGUGUGGCCCUGGAGCGCUGCAGUGACCAGCCAGCCCUCUGCACUGCCACGCAGGUGCCCAGCUUGGCAGCAGGGCUGGAGGGGUGAGAACAACAUUCCCAGCCCCAGUGUGGUUAAGCAAGCAGAAGGACAUUGGACAAAAGGGCCUACCUGGACAAUUUAAGAUGGACUGCAAGCAGAAGAGAAGUAAUUCAUUGCUGUGAGAUAAAACCAUCAGUAUAGAGUAACUGCUAGAAAUCUUCAUCGUGCCCUAGGAAGGAGUCCAGGUGCUUCUAUGCCACAAGAAGUUUAAACAAUGUUCAGCUGUGAACUAGGACCCAGAAUAAGGAUGCAAAGCAAAUGCCUGUUGACAUAUACAACCUGUCCCAGGGUAAUGAGAGUGCAUUAGAGGACUGGGAAGAUCCCUAAAACCAAACUGCAGGGUAAAAGAGCUACUCCAAGAAGUGACUGUCCACAUGUGAACAUGAACAGAACAUCAUGCUUUCCAAAGCAAUUACAAUUCUCAUUCACUCUUUCCAUCUCCCUCAUGCUUGCUGUGUGUAAUGAAGCUGAAAGACAACAAGGGACAUGGUCACUGGAGAUACUUGUCAAGCCUGUGACUGAAGCUACUGAAGUUCUCUACUGAUAUGCCACGUGAAAGCUUUGGUAAAGAAGUGCUACACUUCCAAAGUCAAACAUUCAGUUACUAGGAGAUAACCAAGUCAUAUCUUCCAAGGCAGCCUUAGCUCAAUUUUCCUAUUUAUGCACGUUAUAAUAUAGUAUUUAAUUAUGUCACCACAGAUAAGUUAUUCCUGAAAUUUCCUCCUAAUAACUUCUCUGAGCAUUUGUGUAUCUAUAUAGCUCUUAGAGCUGGGCCUUUAUUUCUCCCAGAAAGGACUGUAUUAGAACCCAGCAGAGAGAGAUUUGAUCUAAACUCUUGAUUUCCUAAAGUCUCAGAGGCAAAGUCAACCUGGCAUGACAGCCCUUAGUGAGGAGAGCUGGGGGCUUGGCCCACAAAGUACGAAGUGGAGCUGUGUGUCUGUCUGUCCCACCCACUUCUCCCUUAUAUUUUGCUAGAAGUACAGUGACCAAAGUGAUGGCUCAGUGCCUCCCCAGCAAUUCAGCCCCACCACUUGCUGAUUAACCAAAAGCCCCUUGCUCAGUUGGAAGAGCCCAUCCAUGCUAGCUGAGGAUUGAAGAUUUUAUUUUGCUCUGGAGAAAGGAAAACUGCACUGUAGUUUUAAAUCCUUUCACAGAGGAAGGGUAUAGAGCAGGUGGCCAAACAUGCUAAGGAGGACUUUGGACUCAGGCUAUGGCUGGUCUGAGACUGGGAGGUGUCAGGAAACACCUUGCAAAACACUGGGAGUAAGAGUGGACAGCAGCUCUGCAAUUUUCAUUUUCCUUUCGGCAGUAGCUAAUUAGUCUCUGUGUAGGGAACAGGUUCCCGGUGAAAAGCAAAGCCCUGCACUGGCCGUUACCAGGCAAUUAUUCAUUGCCAUUCAAGCAAUUAUUGCUGCCUCUGGGACAGCAGCUACUUUCUACUUUGAGAAACACCGGAGACAACUUUCCAUUAAGCAGUCACUCUUGUUUACAGGAAAAUGCACAAAUAAAUAAUAGAAAUAAUCUACCAAGGCAAAAUUUGAUCGUUUUGAUUUUUAAGUGAAAAACCUAAGGGAAGACACUGAUGUAGAACACACUGAAGGUUUUUGGCUCUACCUGGGGAAAAAUAAAACCUCUAAAUAGUUGAAAGCCUUUUCUCUAAAAGAUUUACCUUAUGUUUUCAAAAAUUAUGAUAACCUCUCCAAAUAGGUAGAAAAAUAUCAGUAAUCCCAAGUUUGUGGGGGAACAAAGAACUUGCAUAGCUUUUCUUUCAAAGACUUAGUUGCUUUCAAGUGUUCCAGUUGCUGAUUAUUUCAAUAGGAAAGUUUGAAAGGAUGAAUGUGUCUGUUCGAUGCCAAGUGACACUCAAGAUGAUCCUUGCUGCAUGCGCUGGCUCAGGGUUGCUGAAGACCUGUGUUUGAAGCCACGUGAACAGCAGUGAGGUUGCACAUUCAGUGCCACACAGAGACAUCUGCAGUUUAACGGGAAUUUCUUUGUCUGGAUAUGAGCACUGUACAUGCCUAGGUCUCCAUUACGUUCGGUUUCGAGGUUUCUUGCAGGACACUGAUUUAUAAAAAGCUGGUUAGAAAUAAUGAAUGGGAUCAAAUGGAAAUGAACGGCGCAGCAGGGAGAGGAUCUGUCCUUUUAACAAGCCGUGGCAGUAACAGAUGAAGCAAACUGGCCUUCCCUGGCUCUGCAGCUUGGCUGGGGAAUUGCUCUCACAAGGGAGCCGAGCCCACAAUAGCGUGGUAGCACAAUCGCUCAUGAAACUAGAAAUGUUGCUCUCCUGGAGGGCUUACGUGGCACAUCGUUGUGCAGAGCUGGGGAAAUAAGGUGCGCAUUUCUCAUUCGAUGAUGAUAGUAGGCUUUUUCAGGAGCUUUGCCGACUUCCCACAUCAUACUUUCGUAGCCUAAAGCGGGUCAAAGCCGGGAAGACCGUGGCAGCCUGUGCUCUGCUCGGG